CCCAAGGAAAGAUGUUGCACACUGUGAGAACUGCACAGACUACAGCAGUUACAGUGUAGAUUGAGGGAUUUAUUGUUCACGCAUCCCAUAUUCUGCAGCAACAGUUCCAGGCUAUAGAAUGCUCAUUUCUUUCUCUGCAGUUCCUGAGGAAGCAGGCAGUGGUACAUGGAAGUACCUGGCAGAACGGCGGCAAAAGCGUCACGAUCGAGCAGUGACCGAAAUGCAGCAGGAGCUGGACGGCAUUGGCAGGGAGAUGGAAGCCUCUGUUUUGAAGAUUCAGGAAUUCCUUCAGCUUAAAGUGAUGAAAUCAGAUGAAAAGAGUAAACUUCUGUUUGAAAAGAUUGCAUCUGACAUGGCUUUGGAAGGUUUCUCAUUUGAAGGUUUGGAAGAACUGUGGAAUAUGAUCCAUGAAGAAUCCUCAAACAGAAAAAAGUGGAUUAGGGCAGUGGACGAAUCCCUGAAGGAGAUUGAAAGGAGUCGAGCUGUUAAAGUGAGCUGCAGUCUCAAUAACUGUUGCUUAAGCAUAAGAUUGUUAUUUGCUGAUACCAUGCUGGAUGCAGAGCAGGAGUAGCUUGUUUCCACAGGAGUCAGAGGCCUGCCAGUAGUUCUGUUAUGUGGUGAUUGCUUUCUUUUCACUAAUAAACUCAUUUAUUUUCACUCAUUUUACACCCACAUAAUCAGGAAAAGCUACUUUUUUCCUAGUUUUAAGGUGUUUCUUUCUUUCAUGAUUACGGAUACUACAGGUGCAAGGAAUAUGUGAGCUGCUUUUAUUUUCCUGGAGACUUGUGUAGGUCAAACUUUCAUCUGGUCUGUUAUUUUUUUGGGGAACAUAGCUAUUCUGCAGCUGAGAAGGAGCAUAGACAUGAGCUAGCUUGAUUUUAGUUUGUGUUGGCUGGGUGUCAGUAGCAAAUGUGUUGCAGUUUUGUAGUAUCCAGCCUAACCUGUCAAAGUCAUUGGACAUCAUGGGAAACGUUUGGAUAAAAAAAUUGAUAGACUAUGGAAGAGCUUGCUGCACUGUCCUUGUAGGCAAAGAAAAACUGUUCCAUCAGUGCCUGUUCCUCCUCUCUUUGUAAUUCAGAUAGCAGAUGUACUGACCAAGUAGACCUUGAAACUGGAAGAAAUUUCUUUCUUCUUGGCAGCUGAUGUUCACCAGCUCAUUAACAAUAAGGCCAUGAAUAUAAACAGAGUACUGCUGGGUAAUGAGAGGGCAACUGCCAAGCUGCUCUUUAAUGUAAUGAAAUCAGAGCUUGAGAAAGACAAAUUGCAUCAACUGAAAUGGCAAGAGAGAGUCAAGGUCUGGAAGCUCAUCCAAAAGAACUGCAUAGUUCAGAGUUUCAGAGAAUUUACGGCAAGUGAAGAAAUACAGAAUCCCCCAACUGUGAAAACAGAAAUGGAAAAUAUGAUAAAGGAGCAGAUUGUACUUAGUGAACAGAGACUGAGAGUUUUGCAGCACAUUGGCACCUUGUUGCCUCCAAAACAUACACAAUCUGACAUAAUAAAUGAAUGGUACAGAACUCUGGAGAAUUUAAACAGGAGUAUUGGUAAGUUGAGAAAUGAUAAAACCAGUUUGGAAUUCAAGCAAUCCUUUCUUUUUCCCCAGGCAACGAGGCAGACAG
Non-coding RNA from Cyanistes caeruleus (blue tit), 1616 nucleotides. The record is from RefSeq and is a predicted model, not a curated record. NCBI's taxonomy places the organism in Eukaryota, Metazoa, Chordata, Aves, Passeriformes, Paridae.